AACGAACGCUAUCGGUAUGCUUAACACAUGCAAGUCGGACGGACUAAUUAGGGCUUGCUCCAAUUAGUUAGUGGCAGACGGGUGAGUAACACGUGGGAAUCUGCCCAUCAGUACGGAAUAACUUUUAGAAAUAAAAGCUAAUACCGUAUAUUCUCUACAGAGGAAAGAUUUAUCGCUGAUGGAUGAGCCCGCGUCAGAUUAGGUAGUUGGUGAGGUAACGGCUCACCAAGCCGACGAUCUGUAGCUGGUCUGAGAGGAUGAUCAGCCACACUGGGACUGAGCCACGCCCCAGACUCCUCGGGGAGGCGCAGGGGGGAAAUUUUGGAAAAGGGGCGAAGCCCUGAUCCACAAAUACCGGGUGAGUAUAAAGGCCCUGGGGUUUGAAAAGCUCUUUUACAAAGGAAAAUAAGGCCGUUCCGUGAAAAAAAGCCCCCGCCUACCCCCUUC
RNAcentral lists this ribosomal RNA (447 nucleotides) under uncultured bacterium. RNAcentral describes it as "partial 16S ribosomal RNA". It matches the Rfam family "Bacterial small subunit ribosomal RNA", at positions 29 to 508 of the family's 1533-position model. The record is from RNAcentral.